Molecule: ribosomal RNA, 623 nt
Filed under: uncultured archaeon
Lineage: Archaea
Description: bacterial SSU rRNA
Rfam family: Archaeal small subunit ribosomal RNA
Source: RNAcentral
AUAAUACUCCAUAGAUUAGAGACACUGGAAUGUUCUUUAGUCGAAAGUUCUGGCGCCUUAGGAUGGAUCUGCGGUCGAUUAGGUUGUUGUUGGGGUAACGGCCCAACAAGCCUGUAACCGAUACGGGUUGUGGGAGCAAGAGCCCGGAGAUGGAAUCUGAGACACGAUUCCAGGCCCUACGGGGCGCAGCAGGCGCGAAAACUUUACAAUGCAGGAAACUGUGAUAAGGGAACUCCGAGUGCCCGUAUACGCGGGCUGUCCAGGUGUUUAAAAAUCAUCUGAAGAAAGGGCCGGGCAAGACCGGUGCCAGCCGCCGCGGUAAUACCGGCGGCUCGAGUGGUGGCCACUAUUAUUGGGCUUAAAGCGUCCGUAGCUGGACCGAUAAGUCUCUUGGGAAAUCCGCCGGCUCAACCGGCGGGCGUCUAAGGGAUACUGUUAGUCUAGGGACCGGGAGAGGUGAGAGGUACUCCGGGGGUAGGAGUGAAAUCCUGUAAUCCCCGGGGGACCACCGAUGGCGAAGGCAUCUCACCAGAACGGCUCCGACAGUGAGGGACGAAAGCUGGGGGAGCGAACCGGAUUAGAUACCCGGGUAGUCCCAGCCGUAAACUAUGCGCGUUAGGUGU